CCGUCCCUCAUUGGGGAGUAGCCGCCCCGCGGCACGUCGGCACCGCUAUCCGGUGCAUCGCACGUGCGGUUCGCGGGGGCGUCUGUCAACACACUUGGCCUGUACGGCCAUGGCAGCCGCAGCCUCUGGCCUGGCGAGACCGAUGAUCCACACGCGCCGCAAGAGG
This 166-nucleotide small RNA is filed under the name Paraburkholderia terricola. RNAcentral describes it as "Manganese sequence". It matches the Rfam family "Manganese Mn2+ riboswitch aptamer (yybP-ykoY)". From Rfam's summary of the family: This RNA was originally discovered in E. coli during a large scale screen and was named SraF. The family was later found to exist upstream of related families of protein genes in many bacteria, including the the yybP and ykoK genes in B. subtilis. The specific functions of these proteins are unknown, but this structured RNA element may be involved in their genetic regulation as a riboswitch. Lineage: Bacteria; Pseudomonadati; Pseudomonadota; Betaproteobacteria; Burkholderiales; Burkholderiaceae. The record is from RNAcentral.